RNAcentral lists this ribosomal RNA (471 nucleotides) under uncultured fungus. RNAcentral's name for it is "eukaryotic LSU rRNA". The stretch from base 124 to 275 matches the Rfam family "5.8S ribosomal RNA". The record is from RNAcentral. Lineage: Eukaryota; Fungi.
AUUGAAUGGCCCUCUUGGGCCUUCUACCCUUCAAACCUGUGGAAGCAAGAUGUGCUUCGGCGCCCCCAUGGGCGUCGCCUUCAUGCCGAUGGCUUGUCUGUCUGAUAUGGCCAUAACAAACAAAACUUUCAACAAAGGAUCUCUUGGCUCUUGCAUCGAUGAAGAACGCAGCGAAGCGCGAAAUGUAAUGUGAAUUGCAGAACAUUGUGAAUCAUCGAAUCUUUGAACGCACAUUGCGCCUCUUGUAACCGAGAGGCAUGCCUGUCUGAGCGUCAUUUAAACCUCUAGAUCCUUUUGGGUCUGUCCUGGGCCUCGCUCCAGCCGCGUCGCCUCAAAGUCAUUCUGUCAGUAAGCGGAUGAGAUCCACUAGGACCGACCGUUCACGACGACCAGAACUCCUUAGAAUUGACCUCAGAUCAGGUAGGACUACCGCCUGAACUUAAGCAUAUCAAUAAGGCGAGGAACAGAAAC